This 793-nucleotide ribosomal RNA is filed under the name uncultured bacterium. RNAcentral describes it as "bacterial SSU rRNA". It matches the Rfam family "Bacterial small subunit ribosomal RNA", at positions 8 to 796 of the family's 1533-position model. The record is from RNAcentral.
AGAGUUUGAUCAUGGCUCAGGAUGAACGCUAGCGGCAGGCCUAAUACAUGCAAGUCGAACGGUAACAUGAAUAGCAAUAUUUGAUGACGAGUGGCGCACGGGUGCGUAACGCGUAUGCAAUCUACCUUCAACUGGUGAAUAGCCCGAAGAAAUUCGGAUUAAUACACCAUAAUAUAAUAGAGUGGCAUCACUUUAUUAUUAAAACUACGGUGGUUGAAGAUGAGCAUGCGUGACAUUAGCUAGUUGGUGAGGUAACGGCUCACCAAGGCUACGAUGUCUAGGGGAUCUGAGAGGAUUAACCCCCACACUGGUACUGAGACAGGGACCAGACUCCUACGGGAGGCAGCAGUAAGGAAUAUUGGACAAUGGUCGCAAGACUGAUCCAGCCAUGCCGCGUGCAGGAUGACAGCCCUAUGGGUCGUAAACUGCUUUUGUACGGGAAAAAACCUCUUUACGUGUAAAGAGCUGAUUGUACUGUAAGAAUAAGGAUCGGCUAACUCCGUGCCAGCAGCCGCGGUAAUACGGAGGAUCCAAGCGUUAUCCGGAUUCAUUGGGUUUAAAGGGUGCGUAGGCGGAAUGAUAAGUCAGUGGUGAAAGCCUGUUGCUUAACAACAGAACUGCCAUUGAUACUGUCAAUCUUGAGUACAUUUGAUGUGGGCGGAAUGUGUCAUGUAGCGGUGAAAUGCUUAGAUAUGACACAGAACACCGAUUGCGAAGGCAGCUCACAAAACUGUAACUGACGCUGAGGCACGAAAGCGUGGGUAUCAAACAGGAUUAGAUACCCUAGUAGUCC